UGGGGUGUAGCUCAGAGGCAGAGCAGCCGGCUGUUAACCGGCCCGUCGAAAGUUCGAUCCUUUCCUCCCCAG
This 72-nucleotide transfer RNA is filed under the name Acidithiobacillus ferrooxidans ATCC 23270. It matches the Rfam family "tRNA". Rfam says of the family: Transfer RNA (tRNA) molecules are approximately 80 nucleotides in length. Their secondary structure includes four short double-helical elements and three loops (D, anti-codon, and T loops). Further hydrogen bonds mediate the characteristic L-shaped molecular structure. tRNAs have two regions of fundamental functional importance: the anti-codon, which is responsible for specific mRNA codon recognition, and the 3' end, to which the tRNAs corresponding amino acid is attached (by aminoacyl-tRNA synthetases). tRNAs cope with the degeneracy of the genetic code in two manners: having more than one tRNA (with a specific anti-codon) for a particular amino acid; and 'wobble' base-pairing, i.e. permitting non-standard base-pairing at the 3rd anti-codon position. The record is from Rfam by way of RNAcentral. Lineage: Bacteria; Pseudomonadati; Pseudomonadota; Acidithiobacillia; Acidithiobacillales; Acidithiobacillaceae.